This 114-nucleotide ribosomal RNA is filed under the name Salmonella enterica subsp. arizonae. The record is from RNAcentral. Lineage: Bacteria; Pseudomonadati; Pseudomonadota; Gammaproteobacteria; Enterobacterales; Enterobacteriaceae.
UGGCGGCCGUAGCGCGGUGGUCCCACCUGACCCAUGCCGAACUCAGAAGUGAAACGCCGUAGCGCCGAUGGUAGUGUGGGGUCUCCCCAUGCGAGAGUAGGGAACUGCCAGACA